GUGAACGUGUCAUGUGUUGGAAAGGUGGCACGACCGAAGUCCAUGGGGACAGAAGCUCCCGUGCUCACGCCCUCUGGAGCUUGCCCUACAUGCAAGAUCUUCAUCUGGCUGUUCAUGUGUUUAUUCUAUCAAGUCCUUUGUCAUAAACUGGUAAAUAGGCUCUCCAGGCAUCAGCUUCACAGAGAGAAUCUUGAUGCCCAACAAGGACAGCAUUUUCAGAGAUGUACCCUUACAAGGGGUCCCCAUACAAGAUUGAAAUGGAUCACAGGGGAUAAUGCUCUUCCCCCACCGGCCAACUCACCAUGACAUAGAAUGAAAUGGCCCAGCUACAGCCUGGUAACCAAGAUAAAGAACUGAAGAUCCAAAGCCAGAGAAUGAUAAAGUAACUUCAACCUGACACAGUAAAACAUUGCAGGGAGAGUCCGGGAUCUGGAAUGAGAAUGCCACGUCCAGGCUGUGUUACCUUACAAAAAUUAUUAAUGCUUCAGUGGCCUCAUCUGCAGAAUGGAAAUACCAAUAAUAGUAGCUAUCUGAUAAGGUUAUUGUGGGGAUAGUAGGAGACAAUCCAUAAUAAUGUUUGAGUAGUAGCUGGCACAUUGUAGAUACUCAACAUACGCCAGCUAUUAUUGUUAUAGAAAAUAUGCAGAUCUGGAAUAGCUUGGAAAAUGUUUAUGAUACAAUAACAAAUUCAAAAGAAGUCUACUAAAUACUGUGUAUUUUAUGAUUGCAAUUUUGUAAAAACUAUAUCUGCUUAUGGAAAAAGAUUUGAAGAAAAUAUGCUUAUGUGAAAAGAAUUUCUUACAGUGAUGGGAUUACGUGUAGCUUUAUUUAUUUAUUUGAGACCAGGUCUCACUCUGUUGCCCAGGCUGCAAUACAGUGGUGUGACACCAGCUCCCUGAAACUCCUGGGCUCAAGUGAUCCUCCUGCCUCAGCCUCUUGAAUAACUGGGACUACAGGCAUGUGCCACCAUGCCCGGCUAAUAUUUAAUUUUUUUGUGGAGACAGAGUCUCCCUAUGCUGCCAUGCUGGUCUUGAACUCCUGGGCUCAAGCGAUCCUCCAG
RNAcentral lists this long non-coding RNA (1060 nucleotides) under Homo sapiens (human). RNAcentral's name for it is "HSALNT0153660". The record is from RNAcentral. Lineage: Eukaryota; Metazoa; Chordata; Mammalia; Primates; Hominidae.